Long non-coding RNA from Erinaceus europaeus (western European hedgehog), 445 nucleotides. RefSeq lists it as uncharacterized. Lineage: Eukaryota; Metazoa; Chordata; Mammalia; Eulipotyphla; Erinaceidae. The record is from RefSeq and is a predicted model, not a curated record. The transcript is spliced from 3 exons.
AAACCUGUCAUAGAUCAGAUCUUCAGGAUGUGCCCUCCCUUUGACCUGGACUCCAUCUCUUGGCUACCAGAAACAGCACUCUGUGGCUCACAAGAAAGAAAGAAGAGGAUACCACAGCACCAGAGCUUCCCCUACAUCCUAGACUCUCAUAUGCUGCCAAGGGACCAUCUCUCCUGGUCAUUCCACCCCUCUCUGCUCAGUGUCUACUCCAUUCCAGUUCCCUGGGGCCAAUUUUUUAGAGGAUGAGAGUCCAAGAAAAAGGGAAAGAGACAGAGAAGAAGAGACUCUUGCAGUACUGCUCCACCAUUCAUGAAGGUGCUUCUCCAUACCUUCCAAUGGAGAUCAGAGACCUGAACAUAGGUCCUCCCCAUGGUAACAUGUCUACUCUACAGGCGGAGCCACCCCCCUCACACUCUUAACAAGGGAAACAGAGUUCCCACUAGGG